GAUGAAGAACGUAGCGAAAUGCGAUAAGUAAUGUGAAUUGCAGAAUUCAGUGAAUCAUCGAAUCUUUGAACGCACAUUGCGCCCGCCAGUAUUCUGGCGGGCAUGCCUGUUCGAGCGUCAUUACAACCCUCAGGCCCCCGGGCCUGGCGUUGGGGAUCGGCGGAAGCCCCCUGCGGGCACAACGCCGUCCCCCAAAUACAGUGGCGGUCCCGCCGCAGCUUCCAUUGCGUAGUAGCUAACACCUCGCAACAGGAGAGCGGCGCGGCCACGCCGUAAAACACCCAACUUCUGAAUGUUGACCUCGAAUCAGGUAGGAAUACCCGCUGAACUUAAGCAUAUCAAUAAGCGGAGGA
RNAcentral lists this unclassified non-coding RNA (353 nucleotides) under soil metagenome. Its description in RNAcentral is "partial contains 5.8S ribosomal RNA, internal transcribed spacer 2, and large subunit ribosomal RNA". The stretch from base 1 to 120 matches the Rfam family "5.8S ribosomal RNA", at positions 35 to 154 of the family's 154-position model. The record is from RNAcentral.